This 434-nucleotide ribosomal RNA is filed under the name uncultured bacterium. Its description in RNAcentral is "bacterial SSU rRNA". It matches the Rfam family "Bacterial small subunit ribosomal RNA", at positions 340 to 786 of the family's 1533-position model. The record is from RNAcentral.
UACGGAAGGCAGCAGUGGGGAAUAUUGGACAAUGGGCGAAAGCCUGAUCCAGCCAUGCCGCAUGAGUGAAGAAGGCCUUCGGGUUGUAAAGCUCUUUUAGUGAGAAAGAUAAUGACGGUACUCACAGAAGAAGUCCUGGCUAACUCCGUGCCAGCAGCCGCGGUAAUACGGAGAGGGCUAGCGUUAUUCGGAAUUAUUGGGCGUAAAGAGCGCGUAGGCUGAUUAGUAAGUUAAAAGUGAAAUCCCAAAGCUUAACUUUGGAAUUGCUUUUUAAAACUGCUAGUCUAGAGAUUGAAAGAGGAUAGAGGAAUUCCUAGUGUAGAGGUGAAAUUCGUAAAUAUUAGGAGGAACACCAGUGGCGAAGGCGUCUAUCUGGUUCAAAUCUGACGCUGAGGCGCGAAAGGCGUGGGGAAAGCAAACAGGGAUUAGAUACC